Molecule: non-coding RNA, 347 nt
Filed under: Leptotrichia wadei
Lineage: Bacteria; Fusobacteriati; Fusobacteriota; Fusobacteriia; Fusobacteriales; Leptotrichiaceae
Source: RNAcentral
GUAUAGGCAGUAAAAAAACUGUCUAAUACUGCUUGAAUUGCUGGAAAACCCUAAAGCUGAUUUGACGACAACAUAAUAUCUACUUUAAAAUAAAUAUAAAGAUAUAAGUGUGAUCGUUGCGAAAGCGGAAAAAAUAAAUCAGAUGGCAUAAAAAAUAAAAAUGGUUAAAACCUAAGUGCUAAAAGAAAAUUUAUCAAAAGAACAAUGGGCAAUCAGCAGCCAAGACCGCAAGGUAAGGUUCAACGACUAUCCCUUUAGGGAGUACACCAAAGCUGGUGGAAGUGGGCAGACCCAAACAGGUAAAGCUGCGGGGUAAGAUAUAGUCUGUGCUUAAUAGAAAUAUUAAG